GGCGAUUUAACUUUUAUAUAUAUAUGGAUUUUUUUUUAUUUUUUAUUUUGGUUUGCUUUGUAAAGAUUUUUGGCAUAGUGCAAUUGUGCAAAAGUGUCGGCCGGAUUUGUUAAAUUUAAUUUUAACUACCCAAGUAAAGUAACGCAAUCUAUACCAAUAUAAUAUUCUAAUAGAAUUUUGCAAAAGCAACACAUACUAACUAGUAAAGUGACUACCCUCGUAUUUGAAAGUCUACAACAAAUAACACCCAGACAAAAUAAAAUGCCACAAAAAUAAAAAAUAAAUAAAAAUCACAAAAAUAAAAAAAGUAGUAUAAAAUUGUUGAAAAUUUAACUUUUUAAUAAAUAACGGAUUUAAUCUAGUAGCUCCA
RNAcentral lists this long non-coding RNA (370 nucleotides) under Salvia miltiorrhiza (redroot sage). Its description in RNAcentral is "long non-coding RNA (SMIL_LNC002101)". The record is from RNAcentral. Lineage: Eukaryota; Viridiplantae; Streptophyta; Magnoliopsida; Lamiales; Lamiaceae.